GGGCUCUGCCCUGGGAUUCCCAGCUCCUUUCCAUCCUCCGCCUUUUGUUCGCUUCUGACAAUUGCUCUUUAUUUCUUACACACCCCCAGCCUCCCCCCCGCACCCCCCUCCCUGCCCGCACUUGGCACCGUUUAGCUGUCUGCCUGCAAACUUAACAACCCCGGUUCUUGGUAUAAGCACUCAAAUUACCCUUCUUUCUACAUAUAAACACGGCCCGGGGUGUGCGGCUCUCCCCGGCCGCGGGGUCCCCCCGGCCCAGCCCGGCUCCCCCGCACCGACCCCGGCCCGGGCCGGAGGAAGUUUCUGCUGCGGGACACGGCAGGAGAACACGAGCCGAACACAGAACCCCCGCUCUGCGUGGCUCCCCCGGGCUAGCGCUCAGCCAGACUUUAUUAGCGAGGGAAGAACAGAAUCUUCUUUCUCUCUCCGCCCGCGGCGGAUGCAGCACGCAGGAUCCCACUGCCUGCCAUUUGCAGAACACUUUUCACCCCAAAAAAUCUCAGGUUCGUGGCCUGAUCCUGCACAGCUCUCAUCAGCUGCGUUUCCUAGGUCUGGUGGAGACAGAGCAAUGCCAUCACGACGUGUCAGUGUCCACCGUGUCACUCUCAGGACACCUCAGAGCAGCUGCAGCAUCCCCUCCUCUGCCCUGCGGUGCCAGGGUCACCCGGCAGCACCGUCCCCUUCGGAUGAAUAUUUGGGCAGCUCUUGCCGCGGUUUCCUUGCGGGGUGGAUGAGAUGGGAACGGAGGGGAAGAAGGAAACCACGGGUAGCGUGAGGAGCGCCAGGUGGUGUUGACAGAAGAAGAUGGGUAGGAGAUUUCAAUGGCAGGCACACGUGUCCCAGGAGAGGGUGAGACACCAACAGAGAUGGAGCAAGAAAUGAGCCUUGGACAGCUGCAGGAGAGAAACCCAAACCUUCUUUGGAAAGCAGGGUCACCUGCAGGCUGGGGGCACCUUAUGAAACACCCAUCCCUCCAGACAUCUGGGAGCAUCAAGCAGCCACCAGGAGCUGGCACGGGUCCCAUCAGCACUGGGGAAGGUGCAGAGCAGAGAAAUGAGGGAGGGAGGUGCUGCUCAGGACCCACCACGCCGCUGGGAUGUGCCCACGGAUAGAAGGGGAAAUGUGGAAGGGACAACAGGGAACCAAGAGAACACAACAGCACCUAAAGGAAAGGGUGAAGACUGAACGUGUGAAACAAAGGUGGUUUGGGCUCAGAUGGGAGAGAAGAUCCAUACCUGGAAAAUCUCCUCCAGUGGGAGAUGAUUUCAGAGGAGUUGGAAUGUUUGACUGGCUCAGGAUUUGCCUGGGAGAGGUUAGGCUGGUGUUUCUAGCGUGACUGCAACCAAGCCAGCUCUGCUGGGGCUGGCUGCAGGGUUUAUUCAUGGUGGGGAAGGAAGGGACCAGCUGACUUUUAGAUGCCCAAAAGCAUAAAGAGAGGGUUUCAUGAUCAUGGACAAUGACCAUACUACUUCACCUCAGGGCUUUUCAGAUGUUAGCCAUGCCCCAAAAAAUUACAUGAUGAAGAAAGGGGGAAUAAACCCUAGUGCAAGCAAGGCAGCACAACCUCCUCCCCUGUCUUAGAGCUGCCCUUACUAGAGGCUCAACUGAUCCUAUUUUUGGGACCUGAGAGGUGAACUCCCAAUGCAGAGCAAACAUCCCUUUAUGGGGGUCUCUCUUUUCACCCUUAGAACAGAGACCCUCCCAUUUCCUUCUGCUGGGUGCAGCCUCCUGGUCCCACCAUCACAGCCUUUUGUCCCAAGCAAGAGCUUCCUUGGGGAAGGCAAUUUCAUGGCCAUGCACCUUCCCUGGUUGUCUUUGGGUCUGUGUCCCCUCUCCAGCACCCCUUUACCUAUUAAUAUCCUUUGACUGUCCUCACACCUGCAGACAAUCUGGUCCCCAACCACCUCCACCUCCCCCCUUCCUCAAAAGCUUCCCUCAGCUGUCUUUAAGUCGUAGCUGAAAUCUGUGGUAUGUAGGAGGAGAAAUUCAGUCUGACAGCAGUUUAAAACACCGCACUACUUGGCAGAUUUAAAUGCUAUUUUAAAUAUAAGCUAUGACACAACGGACAAAAAUAGCAUUGAAAAUACCCUGUCAUGUUCCAUAUUGCGAGGAAUAGGGAAGCAGACCAGGCUAGAAAGGAGCAGAGAGAGGGGCCAGAUGGAGAGGAGAGGUUAUUUUGUUUGUUUUAAAGAAACUGGAUAAAUGUAUUUUGUAUGUGACUGAGUAAAUGUGUUUUAUAGAGCAAUGAGCCAAAAAAAAAAAAAAAAUAAACCUUCUCAUGAAAAA
Long non-coding RNA from Passer domesticus (house sparrow), 2286 nucleotides. RefSeq lists it as uncharacterized. The transcript is spliced from 4 exons. NCBI's taxonomy places the organism in Eukaryota, Metazoa, Chordata, Aves, Passeriformes, Passeridae. The record is from RefSeq and is a predicted model, not a curated record.